This 465-nucleotide ribosomal RNA is filed under the name Vreelandella stevensii. RNAcentral describes it as "partial 16S ribosomal RNA". It matches the Rfam family "Bacterial small subunit ribosomal RNA", at positions 338 to 795 of the family's 1533-position model. Lineage: Bacteria; Pseudomonadati; Pseudomonadota; Gammaproteobacteria; Oceanospirillales; Halomonadaceae. The record is from RNAcentral.
CCUACGGGAGGCUGCAGUGGGGAAUAUUGGACAAUGGGGGGAACCCUGAUCCAGCCAUGCCGCGUGUGUGAAGAAGGCCCUCGGGUUGUAAAGCACUUUCAGUGAGGAAGAACGCCUGGUGGUUAAUACCCAUCAGGAAAGACAUCACUCACAGAAGAAGCACCGGCUAACUCCGUGCCAGCAGCCGCGGUAAUACGGAGGGUGCGAGCGUUAAUCGGAAUUACUGGGCGUAGAGCGCGCGUAGGUGGCUUGAUAAGCCGGUUGUGAAAGCCCCGGGCUCAACCUGGGAACGGCAUCCGGAACUGUCAAGCUAGAGUGCAGGAGAGGAAGGUAGAAUUCCCGGUGUAGCGGUGAAAUGCGUAGAGAUCGGGAGGAAUACCAGUGGCGAAGGCGGCCUUCUGGACUGACACUGACACUGAGGUGCGAAAGCGUGGGUAGCAAACAGGAUUAGAUACCCUAGUAGUC